GACGAACGCUGGCGGCGUGCUUAACACAUGCAAGUCGAACGGAAAGGCCCUGCUUUUGUGGGGUGCUCGAGUGGCGAACGGGUGAGUAACACGUGAGUAACCUGCCCUUGACUUUGGGAUAACUUCAGGAAACUGGGGCUAAUACCGGAUAGGAGCUCCUGCUGCAUGGUGGGGGUUGGAAAGUUUCGGCGGUUGGGGAUGGACUCGCGGCUUAUCAGCUAGUUGGUGGGGUAGUGGCUUACCAAGGCUUUGACGGGUAGCCGGCCUGAGAGGGUGACCGGCCACAUUGGGACUGAGAUACGGCCCAGACUCCUACGGGCGGCAGCAGUGGGGAAUAUUGCACAAUGGGCGGAAGCCUGAUGCAGCAACGCCGCGUGCGGGAUGACGGCCUUCGGGUUGUAAACCGCUUUCGCCUGUGACGAAGCGUGAGUGACGGUAAUGGGUAAAGAAGCACCGGCUAACUACGUG
RNAcentral lists this ribosomal RNA (468 nucleotides) under uncultured bacterium. RNAcentral's name for it is "partial 16S ribosomal RNA". It matches the Rfam family "Bacterial small subunit ribosomal RNA", at positions 28 to 507 of the family's 1533-position model. The record is from RNAcentral.